AUGAACGCUGGCGGCGUGCCUAAUACCUGCAAGUCGAGCGAACGGACGAGAAGCUUGCUUCUCUGAUGUUAGCGGCGGACGGGUGAGUAACACGUGGAUAACCUACCUAUAAGACUGGGAUAACUUCGGGAAACCGGAGCUAAUACCGGAUGAUAUUUUGAACCGCAUGGUUCAAAAGUGAAAGACGGUCUUGCUGUCACUUAUAGAUGGAUCCGCGCUGCAUUAGCUAGUUGGUAAGGUAACGGCUUACCAAGGAAACGAUGCAUAGCCGACCUGAGAGGGUGAUCGGCCACACUGGAACUGAGACACGGUCCAGACUCCUACGGGAGGCAGCAGUAGGGAAUCUUCCGCAAUGGGCGAAAGCCUGACGGAGCAACGCCGCGUGAGUGAUGAAGGUCUUCGGAUCGUAAAACUCUGUUAUUAGGGAAGAACAUAUGUGUAAGUAACUGUGCACAUCUUGACGGUACCUAAUCAGAAAGCCACGGCUAACUACGUG
Molecule: ribosomal RNA, 496 nt
Filed under: uncultured bacterium
Lineage: Bacteria
Description: partial 16S ribosomal RNA
Rfam family: Bacterial small subunit ribosomal RNA
Source: RNAcentral